Molecule: ribosomal RNA, 253 nt
Filed under: uncultured bacterium
Lineage: Bacteria
Description: partial 16S ribosomal RNA
Rfam family: Bacterial small subunit ribosomal RNA
Source: RNAcentral
UACGAAGGGUGCAAGCGUUAAUCGGAAUUACUGGGCGUAAAGCGCGCGUAGGUGGUUCAGCAAGUUGAAGGUGAAAUCCCCGGGCUCAACCUGGGAACUGCCUCCAAAACUACUGAGCUAGAGUACGGUAGAGGGUAGUGGAAUUUCCUGUGUAGCGGUGAAAUGCGUAGAUAUAGGAAGGAACACCAGUGGCGAAGGCGGCGCUCUGGGCCGGAACUGACGCUGAGGAGCGAAAGCGUGGGGAGCAAACAGG